RNAcentral lists this ribosomal RNA (465 nucleotides) under uncultured bacterium. RNAcentral describes it as "partial 16S ribosomal RNA". It matches the Rfam family "Bacterial small subunit ribosomal RNA", at positions 28 to 507 of the family's 1533-position model. The record is from RNAcentral.
GACGAACGCUGGCGGCGUGCUUAACACAUGCGAGUCGAACGGAAAGGCCCCUUCGGGGGUACUCGAGUGGCGAACAGGUGAGUAACACGUGAGUAACCUGCCCUUGACUUCGGGAUAACUUCAGGAAACUGGGGCUAAUACCGGAUAGGAAUCCUUGCUGCAUGGUGGGGGUUGGAAAGCUUCGGCGGUUUUGGAUGGACUCGCGGCUUAUCAGCUUGUUGGUGGGGUAGUGGCUUACCAAGGCUUUGACGGGUAGCCGGCCUGAGAGGGCGACCGGCCACAUUGGGACUGAGAUAAGGCCCAGACGCCUACGGGAGGCAGCAGUGGGGAAUAUUGCACAAUGGGCGGAAGCCUGAUGCAGCAACGCCGCGUGCGGGAUGACGGCCUUCGGGUUGUAAACCGCUUUCAGCAGGGGCGAAGCUUGUGGUGACGGUACCUGCAGAAGAAGCACCGGCUAACUACGUG